RNAcentral lists this ribosomal RNA (483 nucleotides) under uncultured bacterium. Its description in RNAcentral is "bacterial SSU rRNA". It matches the Rfam family "Bacterial small subunit ribosomal RNA", at positions 28 to 529 of the family's 1533-position model. The record is from RNAcentral.
GACGAACGCUGGCGGCGUGCUUAACACAUGCAAGUCGAACGAGGGUAGCAGUAAUGUUAUCUUAGUGGCGGACGGGUGAGUAACGCGUGGGCAAUCUGCCUCUUACAGGGGGAUAACACAGGGAAACUUGUGCUAAUACCGCAUAAUAUCAUUGAGUGGCAUCACUUGAUGAUCAAAGGAGCAAUCCGGUGAGAGAUGAGCCCGCGUCCGAUUAGCUAGUUGGCGGUGUAACGGACCACCAAGGCGACGAUCGGUAGCCGAACUGAGAGGUUGAUCGGCCACAUUGGGACUGAGACACGGCCCAGACUCCUACGGGAGGCAGCAGUGGGGAAUAUUGCACAAUGGAGGAAACUCUGAUGCAGCAACGCCGCGUGAAGGAUGAAGGUUUUCGGAUUGUAAACUUCUUUGACCAGGGACGAAUAAUGACGGUACCUGGAAAACAAGCCACGGCUAACUACGUGCCAGCAGCCGCGGUAAUACGUA